This 254-nucleotide ribosomal RNA is filed under the name uncultured bacterium. Its description in RNAcentral is "partial 16S ribosomal RNA". It matches the Rfam family "Bacterial small subunit ribosomal RNA", at positions 524 to 776 of the family's 1533-position model. The record is from RNAcentral.
CACGUAGGGGGCGAGCGUUGUCCGGAUUUAUUGGGCGUAAAGAGCUCGUAGGCGGCUCGGUAAGUCGGGUGUGAAAACUCGGGGCUCAACCCCGAGACGCCACUCGAUACUGCCAUGGCUAGAGUCCGGUAGGGGAGCGUGGAAUUCCUGGUGUAGCGGUGAAAUGCGCAGAUAUCGGGAGGAACACCAGUAGCGAAGGCGGUUCUCUGGGCCGGUACUGACGCUGAGGAGCGAAAGCGUGGGGAGCAAACAGG